Molecule: small nuclear RNA, 94 nt
Organism: Harmonia axyridis
Lineage: Eukaryota; Metazoa; Arthropoda; Insecta; Coleoptera; Coccinellidae
Source: RefSeq, a predicted model, not a curated record
GUGUUGUAUGAAAGGAGAGAAGUUUAGCACUCCCCUAGACAAGGAUGGAUUACAAUACAUAUGCUCAAGCCAGCACACUUGAGCACCAUUUUUU